GACGAACGCUUGCUUCGUGCUUAACACAUGCAAGUCGAACGGAAAGGCCCUGCUUUUGUGGGGUGCUCGAGUGGCGAACGGGUGAGUAACACGUGAGUAACCUGCCCUUGACUUUGGGAUAACUUCAGGAAACUGGGGCUAAUACCGGAUAGGAGCUCCUGCUGCAUGGUGGGGGCUGGAAAGUUUCGGCGGUUGGGGAUGGACUCGCGGCUUAUCAGCUUGUUGGUGGGGUAGUGGCUUACCAAGGCUUUGACGGGUAGCCGGCCUGAGAGGGUGACCGGCCACAUUGGGACUGAGAUACGGCCCAGACUCCUACGGGAGGCAGCAGUGGGGAAUAUUGCACAAUGGGCGGAAGCCUGAUGCAGCAACGCCGCGUGCGGGAUGACGGCCUUCGGGUUGUAAACCGCUUUCGCCUGUGACGAAGCGUGAGUGACGGUAAUGGGUAAAGAAGCACCGGCUAACUACGUG
Molecule: ribosomal RNA, 468 nt
Filed under: uncultured bacterium
Lineage: Bacteria
Description: partial 16S ribosomal RNA
Rfam family: Bacterial small subunit ribosomal RNA
Source: RNAcentral